Molecule: ribosomal RNA, 450 nt
Filed under: uncultured bacterium
Lineage: Bacteria
Description: SSU rRNA
Rfam family: Bacterial small subunit ribosomal RNA
Source: RNAcentral
AGAACGAACGCUGGCGGCAGGCUUAACACAUGCAAGUCGAACGCUUCACCCUCGGGUGGAGAGUGGCAGACGGGUGAGUAACACGUGGGAACGUACCCUUUUGUUCGGAAUAACCCUGGGAAACUAGGGCUAAUACCGGAUACGGCCGAGAGGCGAAAGGUUUACCGCAGAGGGAUCGGCCCGCGUCCGAUUAGCUAGUUGGUGAGGUAAUGGCUCACCAAGGCAUCGAUCGGUAGCUGGUCUGAGAGGAUGACCAGCCACAUUGGGACUGAGACACGGCCCAAACUCCUACGGGAGGCAGCAGUGGGGAAUAUUGGACAAUGGGCGCAAGCCUGAUCCAGCCAUGCCGCGUGAGUGAUGAAGGCCUUAGGGUUGUAAAGCUCUUUUACCUGGGAAGAUCAUGACGGUACCAGGAGAAUAAGCCCCGGCUAACUUCGUGCCAGCAGCCGC